RNAcentral lists this ribosomal RNA (800 nucleotides) under Bacillus sp. (in: firmicutes). RNAcentral's name for it is "bacterial SSU rRNA". It matches the Rfam family "Bacterial small subunit ribosomal RNA", at positions 62 to 842 of the family's 1533-position model. Lineage: Bacteria; Bacillati; Bacillota; Bacilli; Caryophanales; Bacillaceae. The record is from RNAcentral.
UCGAGCGGACAGAUGGGAGCUUGCUCCCUGAUGUUAGCGGCGGACGGGUGAGUAACACGUGGGUAACCUGCCUGUAAGACUGGGAUAACUCCGGGAAACCGGGGCUAAUACCGGAUGCUUGUUUGAACCGCAUGGUUCAAACAUAAAAGGUGGCUUCGGCUACCACUUACAGAUGGACCCGCGGCGCAUUAGCUAGUUGGUGAGGUAAUGGCUCACCAAGGCAACGAUGCGUAGCCGACCUGAGAGGGUGAUCGGCCACACUGGGACUGAGACACGGCCCAGACUCCUACGGGAGGCAGCAGUAGGGAAUCUUCCGCAAUGGACGAAAGUCUGACGGAGCAACGCCGCGUGAGUGAUGAAGGUUUUCGGAUCGUAAAGCUCUGUUGUUAGGGAAGAACAAGUACCGUUCGAAUAGGGCGGUACCUUGACGGUACCUAACCAGAAAGCCACGGCUAACUACGUGCCAGCAGCCGCGGUAAUACGUAGGUGGCAAGCGUUGUCCGGAAUUAUUGGGCGUAAAGGGCUCGCAGGCGGUUUCUUAAGUCUGAUGUGAAAGCCCCCGGCUCAACCGGGGAGGGUCAUUGGAAACUGGGGAACUUGAGUGCAGAAGAGGAGAGUGGAAUUCCACGUGUAGCGGUGAAAUGCGUAGAGAUGUGGAGGAACACCAGUGGCGAAGGCGACUCUCUGGUCUGUAACUGACGCUGAGGAGCGAAAGCGUGGGGAGCGAACAGGAUUAGAUACCCUGGUAGUCCACGCCGUAAACGAUGAGUGCUAAGUGUUAGGGGGUUUGCUGCCCCCUU